UCUGUCUCCAUACCAAGGGCAAUGCUUGAACUCCCUACAGCUGCUGAAAAUUUUAUUGCAGGGGACUGGUUCAAAGCCAGAGACAUGGACAGAGCAGCAUAUUCUUGGCGUAUUCGAAACCAGAGCUGAAAUCAAGAUGGGUUUGCUGGCCAUAAUCAUUUGUUGUCAAGAUAAACUCUCUGAUGUAUACACAGAGUUGCUUCCUGCGCGUUCCAAGGCUCUUAAAUCUGGAACCGCGAUAUUAAAAGAUGUUGAAUUGUAUGGCUAUUGUGGGUUUUGUUGCUUCAACUAACUUGGAGAGGAGACCGAAAGUGCCAUGCAAAUUAUUUAGAAGUUCAUUCAUCCU
Prunus avium (sweet cherry) is the source of this 346-nucleotide non-coding RNA. The record is from RefSeq and is a predicted model, not a curated record. Lineage: Eukaryota; Viridiplantae; Streptophyta; Magnoliopsida; Rosales; Rosaceae.